RNAcentral lists this ribosomal RNA (253 nucleotides) under uncultured bacterium. RNAcentral's name for it is "partial 16S ribosomal RNA". It matches the Rfam family "Bacterial small subunit ribosomal RNA", at positions 524 to 776 of the family's 1533-position model. The record is from RNAcentral.
GACAGAGGGGGCAAGCGUUGCUCGGAAUCACUGGGCGUAAAGGGCGCGUAGGCGGGAUGGCAAGUCGGUCGUGAAAUCCUUCGGCUCAACCGAAGAACGUCGGCCGAUACUGCCGUUCUUGAGGGAUGCAGAGGAGAUUGGAAUUCCCGGUGUAGCGGUGAAAUGUGUAGAGAUCGGGAGGAACACCAGAGGCGAAAGCGGUUAACUGGGUCUAAACUGACGCUGAGGCGCGAAGGCUAGGGGAGCAAACAGG